AUGUUAGCGGCGGACGGGUGAGUAACACGUGGGUAACCUACCUAUAAGACUGGGAUAACUCCGGGAAACCGGGGCUAAUACCGGAUAAUAUUUUGAACCGCAUGGUUCAAUAGUGAAAGACGGUUUCGGCUGUCACUUAUAGAUGGACCCGCGCCGUAUUAGCUAGUUGGUAAGGUAACGGCUUACCAAGUCGACGAUACGUAGCCGACCUGAGAGGGUGAUCGGCCACACUGGAACUGAGACACGGUCCAGACUCCUACGGGAGGCAGCAGCU
RNAcentral lists this ribosomal RNA (274 nucleotides) under uncultured Staphylococcus sp. RNAcentral describes it as "partial 16S ribosomal RNA". It matches the Rfam family "Bacterial small subunit ribosomal RNA", at positions 89 to 355 of the family's 1533-position model. The record is from RNAcentral. Lineage: Bacteria; Bacillati; Bacillota; Bacilli; Caryophanales; Staphylococcaceae.